GUGUCAGCCGCCGCGGUAAUACGGAGGGGGCUAGCGUUGUUCGGAAUUACUGGGCGUAAAGAGUUCGUAGGCGGACUGACAAGUUGGGGGUGAGAUCCCGGGGCUUAACCCCGGAACUGCCUUCAAAACUGUCAGUCUAGAGACCGGAAGAGGUAAGGGGAAUACCUAGUGUAGAGGUGAAAUUCGUAGAUAUUAGGUGGAACACCAGUGGCGAAGGCGCCUUACUGGUCCGGUACUGACGCUGAGGAACGAAAGCGUGGGGAGCAAACAGGAUUAGAUACCCUGGUAGUCCACGCCGUAAACGAUGAGUGCUAGAUGUCGGGAUUUUUGGAUUUCGGUGUCGCAGCUAACGCGUUAAGCACUCCGCCUGGGGAGUACGGUCGCAAGAUUAAAACUCAAAGGAAUUGACGGGG
Molecule: ribosomal RNA, 413 nt
Filed under: uncultured prokaryote
Description: bacterial SSU rRNA
Rfam family: Bacterial small subunit ribosomal RNA
Source: RNAcentral